RNAcentral lists this ribosomal RNA (109 nucleotides) under Neotoma lepida (desert woodrat). Lineage: Eukaryota; Metazoa; Chordata; Mammalia; Rodentia; Cricetidae. The record is from RNAcentral.
GUCUACAGCCAUACCACCCUGAAUGCACCUGUUCUUGUCUGAUCUUGGAAGCCAGGCAGGGUCAGGCCUGGUUAGUACUUGGAUGGGAGAAAGCAGGAAGAGCUAGCCA